Molecule: ribosomal RNA, 253 nt
Filed under: uncultured bacterium
Lineage: Bacteria
Description: partial 16S ribosomal RNA
Rfam family: Bacterial small subunit ribosomal RNA
Source: RNAcentral
UACGUAGGGUGCAAGCGUUAAUCGGAAUUACUGGGCGUAAAGCGUGCGCAGGCGGUUAUGUAAGACAGUUGUGAAAUCCCCGGGCUCAACCUGGGAACUGCAUCUGUGACUGCAUAGCUAGAGUACGGUAGAGGGGGAUGGAAUUCCACGUGUAGCAGUGAAAUGCGUAGAGAUGUGGAGGAACACCGAUGGCGAAGGCAGCCCCCUGGGCUAACACUGACGCUCAUGCACGAAAGCGUGGGGAGCAAACAGG